This 64-nucleotide transfer RNA is filed under the name Haplorchis taichui. Its description in RNAcentral is "tRNA-Arg". The record is from RNAcentral. Lineage: Eukaryota; Metazoa; Platyhelminthes; Trematoda; Opisthorchiida; Heterophyidae.
UUUGAUAACCAUUGUGUGGGGUUGCGUUCGGCCGCAAUGAAGGGUUAGAUGAACUCUAUCAAAA